UACGUAGGUGACAAGCGUUGUCCGGAUUUACUGGGCGUAAAGAGCGCGCAGGCGGUCGAUCAAGUCGAGUGUGAAAGCCCCCGGCUCAACUGGGGAGGGUCAUUCGAUACUGAUCGACUCGAAGGCAGGAGAGGGUAGUGGAAUUCCCGGUGUAGUGGUGAAAUGCGUAGAUAUCGGGAGGAACACCAGUGGCGAAGGCGGUUGCCUGGAGCUUUGCUGACGCUGAGGCGCGAAAGCGUGGGGAGCGAGUCCGG
Molecule: ribosomal RNA, 254 nt
Filed under: uncultured bacterium
Lineage: Bacteria
Description: partial 16S ribosomal RNA
Rfam family: Bacterial small subunit ribosomal RNA
Source: RNAcentral